AUUGAACGCUGGCGGCAUGCCUUACACAUGCAAGUCGAACGGUAACAGGUCUUCGGAUGCUGACGAGUGGCGAACGGGUGAGUAAUACAUCGGAACGUGCCUAGUAGUGGGGGAUAACUACUCGAAAGAGUGGCUAAUACCGCAUGAGAUCUACGGAUGAAAGCAGGGGAACGCAAGACCUUGUGCUACUAGAGCGGCCGAUGGCAGAUUAGGUAGUUGGUGGGAUAAAAGCUUACCAAGCCGACGAUCUGUAGCUGGUCUGAGAGGACGAUCAGCCACACUGGGACUGAGACACGGCCCAGACUCCUACGGGAGGCAGCAGUGGGGAAUUUUGGACAAUGGGCGCAAGCCUGAUCCAGCAAUGCCGUGUGCAGGAUGAAGGCCUUCGGGUUGUAAACUGCUUUUGUACGGAACGAAAAGCCCCGGGUUAAUACCCUGGGGUCAUGACGGUACCGUAAGAAUAAGCACCGGCUAACUACGUGCCAGCCGCCGCGGUAA
RNAcentral lists this ribosomal RNA (498 nucleotides) under uncultured bacterium. RNAcentral's name for it is "partial 16S ribosomal RNA". It matches the Rfam family "Bacterial small subunit ribosomal RNA", at positions 30 to 523 of the family's 1533-position model. The record is from RNAcentral.